GAUGGGCUGCCAGGAGGGCUGACUGUGCGGCUCAUCUUAUCCUCAUCCUCCUUUUGAAUAUGCUUUCGUCCCCAAAGGGGCAGCAGCACGGCCUGCUGGGGUUCUGGCCUUCAGGUGGAAAGAAAAUCAAAAGGUGUUUGAAAAGUCUCUCUUCUCCUUUACACCUUCCAUAGCGCUUUGGUGUUUGAAAGACAGACUGCUGCGUUCAGCAGAUCUGGCCCCAUGAUAUUCUAUGCACGCACACUAUUUCUGUUUGCUAUCAAUGUAUUUUAAUGUUUUGGCUCAUGUGAUAUUAUAGGCUUUUCUCUGUCCUUUACUUGCUGCUACAGCUUUAGCAAUAGGAGAAUGUGUUCGAUGGUGUAACCUGAUGUCCCACAGAAGACAAAUCUGGUUGCCUAUCCAAAAAAGGAGCUAUUAGGGCUCACAGAUUCCUUAAUGGAACUUAAUGGCUUUAAGUAAUGGCCCUUAAUGGCUUUAAUCAGCCUCACCGGGAGCCUCCACCCACACUCCCUGCCCUUGGGUGCAGGAGCCACAUAAAAGCCCCGGGCUGUGAGCUUACAGAGCUUUGUUGCAUCGAGUCUGUGGUUUGACUAUGGCUUCCUGGCUGACCUUCUGGUUUGAUCUCGGACCUGUCUCAGAAGGUUGUUUGGUGAUGCAGACUCUCCACCUGAACCUGGCAGCCAUCUUUGGGUUUGCUCAACUCACCUCACUAGGGUUAUAUGUGCACCAGGUACUACUGCUCUGUCUGGCAGAUGGAGCCCUGGAGUGUGAGUAGCUGAGCUGCAGAAGUUCAGUAUCUCAAAAAUUGGAUCAGAAUUCUGGGAAGGCAGUGAGGAUACGGAGUAACAGAGCCAUUCCCUUGGCCACCAGUGGAUUCAUGCAAAGUGUAGGAUGUGAGGACAUACCAAGGACAGCUGGGGGGGACUAUGAUAAGACCCAUUAAAACACGGAUGGUGCAAAUAUCGUGGAGCGGAAAUAACUAGCAGAAGUUAUGCAGUAUGAUUAUCAACCAGAGGGCUAACGAAGAAAAGCAAAGUAUUUCAUUUUGCACUCAGAAACUACCUAAAUAAAUCCUUACCAGCUGAUAUUCUGCACUACAACUGGUUCAAAGAAGGAAUUAGACAAGUUAAUAGGUCUGUCAAGAGCUAUCGAACGCACUGGCUGAAUCACAGAUGUCCAGAUAAGGAUGCUGUAAACCAUUUAUUUCUUAAAACCGCAAGGAUGUAACAUGUAGCAACUCCUCUGCAACUGCC
RNAcentral lists this long non-coding RNA (1253 nucleotides) under Gallus gallus (chicken). RNAcentral describes it as "lncRNA (ENSGALG00010021942.1)". The record is from RNAcentral. Lineage: Eukaryota; Metazoa; Chordata; Aves; Galliformes; Phasianidae.